Molecule: non-coding RNA, 110 nt
Organism: Podarcis lilfordi (Lilford's wall lizard)
Lineage: Eukaryota; Metazoa; Chordata; Lepidosauria; Squamata; Lacertidae
Source: the annotation of a GenBank genome assembly
UUUCCAGUAGCACCUUAGAGACCAACUAAGUUUGUUAUUGGUUUGAGCUUUUGUGUGCAUGCACACAUACCAAUAACAAACUUAGUUGGUCUCUAAGGUGCUACUGGAAG